Molecule: unclassified non-coding RNA, 1583 nt
Filed under: Apis dorsata (giant honeybee)
Lineage: Eukaryota; Metazoa; Arthropoda; Insecta; Hymenoptera; Apidae
Description: galactosylgalactosylxylosylprotein 3-beta- glucuronosyltransferase P, transcript variant X2
Source: RNAcentral
UAGACGGAUCGCACAAGGGGAAUACAACGAGGGAACAGUUCAGUGUUAACCGACGGAGGAGUGUCAUUUCAUCGUCGUUUUGUCGGAUUUUUACGUCAGGUGUAUUGUUUCCUUUUUUCGCUGACAGAACACAAUUGAAAUGUACAAUAGAUAAACAUGCAAUUAGGAAGGUUCAAGUAUAAUGAAGUCAUCUAUGAAAAUGGGAGUAAUAGCCUUAAUAGGUCUCUUCGUGGUGUUUUACCAAUACCAUUUAUCAACCAGCGUACGAUUCGAUCAAAUCGCCGAUUUCAACACGGGUGGUUCCGUGGAAGACAGCCCUGUUCUAUCCCAGGAAGACGUAGAGCGCUACAUCAAAAGCGCUGUGUAUAAAGUUCAAGAGAUGAACGGGCUGAGCCCAGACAUAACCUCGAUGUUGGUGCAGCAGUUAACGAAUUAUUUGCACAAGGAUAUUCUCGAAUUAUCCGAGAAUAAUUCGAAGAAUGAUCGAAACGUAUCGUUGAACGAAGAGAGACAAGAAUCGUCGAUGAAUUCGGAUAAAAUGCCGGAACCGUUGUAUAUAAUCACGCCGACGUAUCGUCGGCCAGAACAAAUACCGGAACUCACCAGGAUGUCGCAUACUUUGAUGUUGGUAAAGAAUGUUCAUUGGCUCGUUAUCGAGGACGCGACCGUUGCCACUAAACAAGUCACGAGGCUGUUGGAACGAACAGGAUUGAAGUUCGAGCAUCUGACUGCUCCAAUGCCUGAAAAGUACAAGCAGAAAAAGGGUGCCAAACCACGAGGCGUGUCUAAUCGGAAUCGUGGCUUACAAUGGAUCAGGGCAAAUGCAACUAAUGGCGUCUUCUAUUUCGCCGAUGAUGACAAUACCUAUGAUAUAGCACUCUUCGACGAAAUACGUAAAACAAAACGAGUCUCCAUGUUUCCUGUUGGUUUAUGCACCAAAUUUGGUUUAAGCUCGCCCAUUAUUAAGAACGAAAAAUUCGUCGGAUUUUACGAUGGAUGGAUCGCCGGUCGGAAAUUCCCAGUCGAUAUGGCAGGCUUCGCUGUAAACGUGAAGUUUCUGCUUCAAAGGCCAAAUGCCUCGAUGCCAUUCAAAGCUGGAUACGAGGAAGAUGGAUUUUUGAAAAGUUUGGCACCGUUUGAACCGAAAGAAAUUGAAUUCUUGGCCGAUAAUUGCACCAAGGUACUCGCUUGGCAUACGCAGACAAAAAAGAAUGAACCAAGUGCGCCUCUUGAUAUGAAACUGUACGGUGAAACGAACCUAGUUAAAUUAAAACAACAGAUAGUAUGAUGUUAAAUCGAUAGCGACUGCAUUUUCGAGUUCGAUCUAAUUUUAACGAUUAAUAAGUACGAAACAAAGUGAUUCAGUGCCUGAAGUAUUGUGAAGUACGAUUGGCGUAGUAAUGAUCUUCUUUUUUUUCUAAUUUUUUUAUUGUUUAAGAUCUCCAUAGGAAAUGUUGUAGAUAAAUGAUCUUUAUAAUGUUGUUUUUGUUUUUUUAUUAAGCUUGUUAUUAAUCUUGAGCAAUUGAAUUUGGAAAAAAAAAUAUGAAUUUCUUUUAUAGUUUAAAUUUUUUUAAAAAAAUUAA